AUUGCUUCUGCGGAACCUCUCCGAAAAAACACGGAGGGUUUAAUGAAACUUAAUGAACUGUCUAUUUUGUCCUCGUUCUUUCCUAAAAAUGACACUGAACGCAGCAGCCUUAUCUCUUCCCUUCAUUGCAGAUACUUCCCUCUCUAUCGUUCUCCUCUCCUGCUCCUUUCUUUGCAGUCAAAUCCCUAACCCUAAUCCUCAUCGGCACAAAUUGGGAGAGAAGCCCUCUACUUGUCCUCCCUUCGUCUCUGAGAAGCAUCAUCAGAAAUACGAGAGGAGUUAUUUUUGAUUGUCUUCCCAUCCUUUCCUCUCUACGGUCAACUAUUCAAGCAUUCUUCUGGUGUUCUUCAAAAGCAUUCUUCUGAUCAACUACUUCUCCUCCCUUCAACUAUUCAAGCAUCGUUCUCCAAUUCUAAAAGGUCAUGCUAAAGAUCAAGUUUAAUUGAUAUAUGAAAGUGCAGCAAUUUGAGAGUUUGAAGAGGAGGCAGUAGUGUGUACUUUUUAGUUCUCAUUUGGUUCCCUUUAAGAUAUGUUUACAGUACUUUUGUAAAACGAUAAAUCAUGAAGUUUGUAGUUUUUCAUAAUUGAGACCUUAAUCCAUGGGCCUUGUACUAUUUUUUUCCCCCUUGUAUUGCUUGGUUCUCAUAUCUAUGGUUGUUCAGUUGCUCUUUGACCAAUAAAGAGCAGCAAAGAUGGUAAUGGGAAUAUAAUAAACCUUCAAAUGUGAUAGAAGGGCUGCUGAAUUGGAAAAAUUUACAUACAUUAAA
This is a long non-coding RNA of Rosa chinensis, 767 nucleotides long. RefSeq lists it as uncharacterized. The record is from RefSeq and is a predicted model, not a curated record. NCBI's taxonomy places the organism in Eukaryota, Viridiplantae, Streptophyta, Magnoliopsida, Rosales, Rosaceae. The transcript has 2 exons.